GGAAAGGCCCUGCUUGCAGGGUACUCGAGUGGCGAACGGGUGAGUAACACGUGGGUGAUCUGCCCUGCACUUCGGGAUAAGCCUGGGAAACUGGGUCUAAUACCGGAUAGGACCAUCGUUUAGUGUCGGUGGUGGAAAGUUUUUCGGUGCAGGAUGAGCUCGCGGCCUAUCAGCUUGUUGGUGGGGUAAUGGCCUACCAAGGCGUCGACGGGUAGCCGGCCUGAGAGGGUGGACGGCCACAUUGGGACUGAGACACGGCCCAGACUCCUACGGGAGGCAGCAGUGGGGAAUAUUGCACAAUGGGCGCAAGCCUGAUGCAGCGACGCCGCGUGGGGGAUGAAGGCCUUCGGGUUGUAAACUCCUUUCAACCAUGACGAAGCAUUAUGUGACGGUAGUGGUAGAAGAAGCACCGGCUAACUACGUGCCAGCAGCCGCGGUAAUACGUAGGGUGCGAGCGUUGUCCGGAAUUACUGGGCGUAAAGAGCUCGUAGGUGGUUUGUCGCGUCGUCUGUGAAAUUCCGGGGCUUAACUCCGGGCGUGCAGGCGAUACGGGCAUAACUUGAGUGCUGUAGGGGAGACUGGAAUUCCUGGUGUAGCGGUGAAAUGCGCAGAUAUCAGGAGGAACACCGAUGGCGAAGGCAGGUCUCUGGGCAGUAACUGACGCUGAGGAGCGAAAGCAUGGGUAGCGAACAGGAUUAGAUACCCUGGUAGUCCAUGCCGUAAACGGUGGGCGCUAGGUGUGGGGGUCUUCCACGACUUCUGUGCCGUAGCUAACGCAUUAAGCGCCCCGCCUGGGGAGUACGGCCGCAAGGCUAAAACUCAAAGGAAUUG
RNAcentral lists this ribosomal RNA (831 nucleotides) under Corynebacterium variabile. Its description in RNAcentral is "bacterial SSU rRNA". It matches the Rfam family "Bacterial small subunit ribosomal RNA", at positions 68 to 912 of the family's 1533-position model. The record is from RNAcentral. Lineage: Bacteria; Bacillati; Actinomycetota; Actinomycetes; Mycobacteriales; Corynebacteriaceae.